GGUUAAGCGACUAAGCGUACACGGUGGAUGCCCUGGCAGUCAGAGGCGAUGAAGGGCGUGCUAAUCUGCGAUAAGCGCCGGUAAGGUGAUAUGAACCGUUAUAACCGGCGAUACCCGAAUGGGGAAACCCAGUGUGACUCGUCACACUAUCAUUAACUGAAUCCAUAGGUUAAUGAGGCGAACCGGGGGAACUGAAACAUCUAAGUACCCCGAGGAAAAGAAAUCAACCGAGAUUCCCCCAGUAGCGGCGAGCGAACGGGGAGGAGCCCAGAGCCUGAAUCAGCAUGUGUGUUAGUGGAAGCGUCUGGAAAGGCGCGCGAUACAGGGUGACAGCCCCGUACACAAAAGCGCAUGUGCUGUGAGCUCGAUGAGUAGGGCGGGACACGUGGUAUCCUGUCUGAAUAUGGGGGGACCAUCCUCCAAGGCUAAAUACUCCUGACUGACCGAUAGUGAACCAGUACCGUGAGGGAAAGGCGAAAAGAACCCCGGCGAGGGGAGUGAAAAAGAACCUGAAACCGUGUACGUACAAGCAGUGGGAGCACCCUUCGGGGUGUGACUGCGUACCUUUUGUAUAAUGGGUCAGCGACUUAUAUUCUGUAGCAAGGUUAACCGUAUAGGGGAGCCGGAGGGAAACCGAGUCUUAACCGGGCGUUAAGUUGCAGGGUAUAGACCCGAAACCCGGUGAUCUAGCCAUGGGCAGGUUGAAGGUUGGGUAACACUAACUGGAGGACCGAACCGACUAAUGUUGAAAAAUUAGCGGAUGACCUGUGGCUGGGGGUGAAAGGCCAAUCAAACCGGGAGAUAGCUGGUUCUCCCCGAAAGCUAUUUAGGUAGCGCCUCGUGAAUUCAUCUCCGGGGGUAGAGCACUGUUUCGGCUAGGGGGCCAUCCCGGCUUACCAACCCGAUGCAAACUGCGAAUACCGGAGAAUGUUAUCACGGGAGACACACGGCGGGUGCUAACGUCCGUCGUGAAGAGGGAAACAACCCAGACCGCCAGCUAAGGUCCCAAAGUCAUGGUUAAGUGGGAAACGAUGUGGGAAGGCCCAGACAGCCAGGAUGUUGGCUUAGAAGCAGCCAUCAUUUAAAGAAAGCGUAAUAGCUCACUGGUCGAGUCGGCCUGCGCGGAAGAUGUAACGGGGCUAAACCAUGCACCGAAGCUGCGGCAGCGAACGUAUCACCCAAGACAACUUUACGGAGUUGACGAUUGACGGAGCGAAGCGACGUCAAAGCGUUCAUUAAAGUCGAGUUGGCUUAGGGAUACGUUCGUUGGGUAGGGGAGCGUUCUGUAAGCCUGUGAAGGUGUGUCGUGAGGCAUGCUGGAGGUAUCAGAAGUGCGAAUGCUGACAUAAGUAACGAUAAAGCGGGUGAAAAGCCCGCUCGCCGGAAGACCAAGGGUUCCUGUCCAACGUUAAUCGGGGCAGGGUGAGUCGACCCCUAAGGCGAGGCCGAAAGGCGUAGUCGAUGGGAAACGGGUUAAUAUUCCCGUACUUGGUGUUACUGCGAAGGGGGGACGGAGAAGGCUAUGUUGGCCGGGCGACGGUUGUCCCGGUUUAAGCGUGUAGGUGUGUGUUCCAGGUAAAUCCGGUUCACUUUAACACUGAGGCGUGACGACGAGGCACUACGGUGCUGAAGCAACAAAUGCCCUGCUUCCAGGAAAAGCCUCUAAGCAUCAGGUAACAUCAAAUCGUACCCCAAACCGACACAGGUGGUCAGGUAGAGAAUACCAAGGCGCUUGAGAGAACUCGGGUGAAGGAACUAGGCAAAAUGGUGCCGUAACUUCGGGAGAAGGCACGCUGACACGUAGGUGAAGUGAUUUACUCAUGGAGCUGAAGUCAGUCGAAGAUACCAGCUGGCUGCAACUGUUUAUUAAAAACACAGCACUGUGCAAACACGAAAGUGGACGUAUACGGUGUGACGCCUGCCCGGUGCCGGAAGGUUAAUUGAUGGGGUCAGCGCAAGCGAAGCUCCUGAUCGAAGCCCCGGUAAACGGCGGCCGUAACUAUAACGGUCCUAAGGUAGCGAAAUUCCUUGUCGGGUAAGUUCCGACCUGCACGAAUGGCGUAAUGAUGGCCAGGCUGUCUCCACCCGAGACUCAGUGAAAUUGAACUCGCUGUGAAGAUGCAGUGUACCCGCGGCAAGACGGAAAGACCCCGUGAACCUUUACUAUAGCUUGACACUGAACAUUGAGCCUUGAUGUGUAGGAUAGGUGGGAGGCUUUGAAGUGUGGACGCCAGUCUGCAUGGAGCCGACCUUGAAAUACCACCCUUUAAUGUUUGAUGUUCUAACGUGGACCCGUAAUCCGGGUUGCGGACAGUGUCUGGUGGGUAGUUUGACUGGGGCGGUCUCCUCCUAAAGAGUAACGGAGGAGCACGAAGGUUGGCUAAUCCUGGUCGGACAUCAGGAGGUUAGUGCAAUGGCAUAAGCCAGCUUGACUGCGAGCGUGACGGCGCGAGCAGGUGCGAAAGCAGGUCAUAGUGAUCCGGUGGUUCUGAAUGGAAGGGCCAUCGCUCAACGGAUAAAAGGUACUCCGGGGAUAACAGGCUGAUACCGCCCAAGAGUUCAUAUCGACGGCGGUGUUUGGCACCUCGAUGUCGGCUCAUCACAUCCUGGGGCUGAAGUAGGUCCCAAGGGUAUGGCUGUUCGCCAUUUAAAGUGGUACGCGAGCUGGGUUUAGAACGUCGUGAGACAGUUCGGUCCCUAUCUGCCGUGGGCGCUGGAGAACUGAGGGGGGCUGCUCCUAGUACGAGAGGACCGGAGUGGACGCAUCACUGGUGUUCGGGUUGUCAUGCCAAUGGCACUGCCCGGUAGCUAAAUGCGGAAGAGAUAAGUGCUGAAAGCAUCUAAGCACGAAACUUGCCCCGAGAUGAGUUCUCCCUGAGACUUAGAGUCUCCUGAAGGAACGUUGAAGACGACGACGUUGAUAGGCCGGGUGUGUAAGCGCAGCGAUGCGUUGAGCUAACCGGUACUAAUGAACCGUGAGGCUUAACCUU
Molecule: ribosomal RNA, 2990 nt
Filed under: Salmonella enterica subsp. enterica serovar Typhimurium
Lineage: Bacteria; Pseudomonadati; Pseudomonadota; Gammaproteobacteria; Enterobacterales; Enterobacteriaceae
Also listed under: 1 other name
Description: 23S ribosomal RNA
Rfam family: Bacterial large subunit ribosomal RNA
Source: RNAcentral